RNAcentral lists this ribosomal RNA (382 nucleotides) under uncultured bacterium. Its description in RNAcentral is "bacterial SSU rRNA". It matches the Rfam family "Bacterial small subunit ribosomal RNA", at positions 29 to 414 of the family's 1533-position model. The record is from RNAcentral.
AUUGAACGCUGGCGGCAUGCCUUACACAUGCAAGUCGAACGGCAGCACGGGGGCAACCCUGGUGGCGAGUGGCGAACGGGUGAGUAAUACAUCGGAACGUGUCCUGUAGUGGGGGAUAGCCCGGCGAAAGCCGGAUUAAUACCGCAUACGCUCUACGGAGGAAAGGGGGAUCUUAGGACCUCCCGCUACAGGGGCGGCCGAUGGCAGAUUAGCUAGUUGGUGGGGUAAAGGCCUACCAAGGCGACGAUCUGUAGCUGGUCUGAGAGGACGACCAGCCACACUGGGACUGAGACACGGCCCAGACUCCUACGGGAGGCAGCAGUGGGGAAUUUUGGACAAUGGGCGAAAGCCUGAUCCAGCAAUGCCGCGUGUGUGAAGAAGG